RNAcentral lists this ribosomal RNA (253 nucleotides) under uncultured bacterium. RNAcentral describes it as "partial 16S ribosomal RNA". It matches the Rfam family "Bacterial small subunit ribosomal RNA", at positions 524 to 776 of the family's 1533-position model. The record is from RNAcentral.
UACGUAGGGCGCAAGCGUUAUCCGGAAUUAUUGGGCGUAAAGAGCUCGUAGGCGGUUUGUCGCGUCUGCCGUGAAAGUCCGGGGCUCAACCCCGGAUCUGCGGUGGGUACGGGCAGACUUGAGUGCAGUAGGGGAGACUGGAAUUCCUGGUGUAGCGGUGAAAUGCGCAGAUAUCAGGAGGAACACCGGUGGCGAAGGCGCGUCUCUGGGCAGUAACUGACGCUGAGACGCGAAAGCGUGGGGAGCGAACAGG